RNAcentral lists this ribosomal RNA (253 nucleotides) under uncultured bacterium. RNAcentral's name for it is "partial 16S ribosomal RNA". It matches the Rfam family "Bacterial small subunit ribosomal RNA", at positions 524 to 776 of the family's 1533-position model. The record is from RNAcentral.
UACGUAGGGUGCGAGCGUUGUCCGGAGUUACUGGGUUUAAAGGGUGCGUAGGUGGACCUAUAAGUCAGUGGUGAAAGCCUCCCGCUUAACGGGAGAACUGCCAUUGAUACUGUAAGUCUUGAGUAUAGUUGAGGUAGGCGGAAUAUGUCAUGUAGUGGUGAAAUACUUAGAUAUGACAUAGAACACCGAUUGCGAAGGCAGCUUGCUAAGCUAUAACUGACACUGAUGCACGAAAGCGUAGGGAGCAAACAGG